This 786-nucleotide ribosomal RNA is filed under the name Triticum aestivum (bread wheat). RNAcentral describes it as "partial small subunit ribosomal RNA". Lineage: Eukaryota; Viridiplantae; Streptophyta; Magnoliopsida; Poales; Poaceae. The record is from RNAcentral.
AUGGAUAAGGUGGGCCAAUUGAGGCUUGGAGUACCUAAUAUGAGGGUGUUGCUGAAAUCUGACAAUGACUACAAUUUGGUUUUGGUUAAUUUGACAUUUAUACAGAGGCGCUCUCACUCUGACAGCAACAUUACUUAUCAGAAUAUUGGUGUUAGCCCAAGCCCGGUCUUGCCAUCAGGCUCAAAAUCUUGGCCCAGGACUCCUCCUCCCUCUAGGAGGCUAGGACGACGCAAGGGGAGGGAAACCCCUCCUCCAAAGCCGACUACACGGUCAUCAUUGUUAAAAUCAAUCGAGGUCUCCAAGAAAUUUGGGGGGAUAACAUUCUUUGAUCUUAAUCUUCCAAUGCCAAUAGGGUCAUCUAGGAAGGAGACCAAAUCACUCAUCAGGGAGGCAUGGGAAGUUGCUGAUAUCAUCGAAGCCACGAAGCAGGAACUCGAGUUCCUCUGCGUUCGUGGGACAGAAGAUGCGCUGAUUACUCCUUUCAUCAGUGAAAUGUCACAAUCAGGAGACACGAUUGUUGCAGCCCUGGUGAAUAUGGUGUCGAUCAACCCUCACCUGGUGACAGACAAGGUCUACUUGCACAAGACAGCAAAGCAUGCCAUCAAAUGCGGCGUCAUCAAUCAGUGGCUGGCAGCGCGGGAGCAGGGAUUCCUUCCCACGGGGAUAGCAGAACCACUCAGCGAACAUGAGGAAGCGAGGUUCCUCACGGAGAGGGCAUACCGUACCAUCCCUGAUGCCAUGCAACCCAUUAACCCAUCGGGCAGCGAGCUCGCGCACGUGGAGUGA